GAUGAACGCUGGCGGCGCGCCUAACACAUGCAAGUCGAACGAUUAAAGCACCUUCGGGUGUGUAUAAAGUGGCGAACGGCUGAGUAACACGUGGGCAACCUGCCCCUUUCAUUGGGAUAGCCACGGGAAACCGUGGAUAAUACCGAAUACUUCGAGACUUCCGCAUGGAAGACUCGAGAAAGCUCCGGCGGAGAGGGAUGGGCCUGCGGCCUGUUAGCUUGUUGGUGGGGUAACGGCCUACCAAGGCAAUGAUGGGUAGCUGGGUUGAGAGACCGACCAGCCAGAUUGGGACUGAGACACGGCCCAGACUCCUACGGGAGGCAGCAGUGGGGAAUCUUGCACAAUGGGCGAAAGCCUGAUGCAGCGACGCCGCGUGCGGGAUGAAGGCCUUCGGGUUGUAAACCGCUUUCAGCAGGGACGAGGCGAAAGUGACGGUACCUGCAGAAGAAGCCCCGGCUAACUACGUG
RNAcentral lists this ribosomal RNA (467 nucleotides) under uncultured bacterium. RNAcentral describes it as "partial 16S ribosomal RNA". It matches the Rfam family "Bacterial small subunit ribosomal RNA", at positions 28 to 507 of the family's 1533-position model. The record is from RNAcentral.